AGCGAACGCUGGCGGCAGGCCUAACACAUGCAAGUCGAACGAACUCUUCGGAGUUAGUGGCGGACGGGUGAGUAACACGUGGGAACGUGCCUUUUGGUUCGGAAUAACUCAGGGAAACUUGUGCUAAUACCGAAUGUGCCCUUCGGGGGAAAGAUUUAUCGCCAUUAGAGCGGCCCGCGUCUGAUUAGCUAGUUGGUGAGGUAACGGCUCACCAAGGCGACGAUCAGUAGCUGGUCUGAGUGGAUGACCAGCCACACUGGGACUGAGACACGGCCCAGACUCCUACGGGAAGCAGCAGUGGGGAAUCUUGCGCAAUGGGCGAAAGCCUGACGCAGCCAUGCCGCGUGAAUGAUGAAGGUCUUAGGAUUGUAAAAUUCUUUCACCGGGGACGAUAAUGACGGUACCCGGAGAAGAAGCCCCGGCUAACUUCGUG
This 433-nucleotide ribosomal RNA is filed under the name uncultured bacterium. RNAcentral describes it as "partial 16S ribosomal RNA". It matches the Rfam family "Bacterial small subunit ribosomal RNA", at positions 29 to 507 of the family's 1533-position model. The record is from RNAcentral.